This 535-nucleotide ribosomal RNA is filed under the name uncultured bacterium. RNAcentral describes it as "bacterial SSU rRNA". It matches the Rfam family "Bacterial small subunit ribosomal RNA", at positions 382 to 916 of the family's 1533-position model. The record is from RNAcentral.
CCUGACGCAGCGACGCCGCGUGAGGGAUGGAGGCCUUCGGGUUGUAAACCUCUUUCGCUCAUGGUCAAGCCGCGACGUGGGUUGUGGUGAGGGUAGUGGGUAAAGAAGCGCCGGCUAACUACGUGCCAGCAGCCGCGGUAAUACGUAGGGCGCGAGCGUUGUCCGGAAUUAUUGGGCGUAAAGGGCUUGUAGGCGGUUGGUCGCGUCUGCCGUGAAAUUCUCUGGCUUAACUGGGGGCGUGCGGUGGGUACGGGCUGACUUGAGUGCGGUAGGGGAGACUGGAACUCCUGGUGUAGCGGUGGAAUGCGCAGAUAUCAGGAAGAACACCGGUGGCGAAGGCGGGUCUCUGGGCCGUUACUGACGCUGAGGAGCGAAAUCGUGGGGAGCGAACAGGAUUAGAUACCCUGGUAGUCCACGCUGUAAACGUUGGGCACUAGGUGUGGGGGCCACCCGUGGUUUCUGCGCCGUAGCUAACGCUUUAAGUGCCCCGCCUGGGGAGUACGGCCGCAAGGCUAAAACUCAAAGGAAUUGACGG